GAGCUGAACAGUUUGAUGAGCA
This 22-nucleotide non-coding RNA is filed under the name Arabidopsis thaliana (thale cress). Lineage: Eukaryota; Viridiplantae; Streptophyta; Magnoliopsida; Brassicales; Brassicaceae. The record is from RNAcentral.